CGAAGUUUGCUGCGGUACCUGGCGUCGACAACGCUGUCAUUUUCGUUGAAUCGUUGCUGUGCGUCGGGUCGCUGGUUGGGGUUUUUUUGAUUUUUGCGAAAGGAAAUAAACAAGCAAAAAUUAAACAAUUCUGCUAUAGUGAAUCGCAGCGUCAGUCAGUGGCUCUAAAUUCGUCAGCGAUUUGUACAAAACAGAAACGGGCGUUGUAAAAAACCUAAGAAAAAACGAAGUGCAAAAGGCAAAUACAAAACAAGCUUGCACGCUUCGUAGUGAUGUGCUGAUAAUUAGGUGAAAUUAAUACAAAACAUUUGGAUUGUAAAGUAUUAAAAUACUAAAUUUGUUGUUUAAAAUUCAAGGCGUAGUGCGGAGUGUGCUAAAUUAUAUAAGUGCGAGCGGAUUUAGACAUUUUUUUGUUGACUCAGAAAUUUCGCGAGCGCACGGUCUGCCAGCGCAGUGGACGCCUCUAUGAUUAGAAGACUGGAAUGUCCAUAUUGUAAAAUCUCAAUUAGUAUUAAUCAAAGCGACAGAAUCUACCAGACACGCUAAUAAAAAAAUUUCAUAUAUCGAUUACAAGUAAACCAAGUGCUUGUACGAGGCAGGUGAAAAUAUUCCAUUGUGCGCGUGGGAAAGGAAGUGCUUACAACCGCUUUGAACAAAGCCAAUACGACUCACUCAAGUCGCUAGAAUCUGAGUGUUUGCCCAGAACUCGUACAGGAUCACGUUCCGCUAUUCAUAACCCGUCUAUGGAAUUCUCUCCCCCUUUUAUUUAAAACUCUUUAGACCAAAUUUGGCAUUGAACGUGAUUUGCAAUUUGCACAGAAAGCAGAAAGUAUAAGUGAAAAACGCAGCUAAGAAAGAAAAAAUG
Rhagoletis zephyria (snowberry fruit fly) is the source of this 865-nucleotide long non-coding RNA. RefSeq lists it as uncharacterized. NCBI's taxonomy places the organism in Eukaryota, Metazoa, Arthropoda, Insecta, Diptera, Tephritidae. The record is from RefSeq and is a predicted model, not a curated record.